RNAcentral lists this ribosomal RNA (440 nucleotides) under uncultured bacterium. Its description in RNAcentral is "partial 16S ribosomal RNA". It matches the Rfam family "Bacterial small subunit ribosomal RNA", at positions 338 to 795 of the family's 1533-position model. The record is from RNAcentral.
CCUACGGGAGGCAGCAGUAGGGAAUAUUGCUCAAUGGGCGAAACCCUGAAGCAGCAACGCAGCGUGGAGGAUGAAGGUUUUCGGAUUGUAAACUCCUUUUUUUAGAGAAGAUAAUGACGGUAUCUAACGAAUAAGCACCGGCUAACGCCGUGACAGCAGCCGCGGUAAUACGGAGGGUGCAAGCGUUACUCGGAAGCACUGGGCGGAAAGAGCGCGUAGGCGGGAUAGCAAGUCAGAUGUGAAAUACUAAGGCUUAACCAUAGAACUGAAUUUGAAACUGUUAUUCUAGAGUAUGGGAGAGGUAGGUGGAAUUCGUGGUGUAGGGGUAAAAUCCGUAGAGAUCAAGAGGAAUACCCAUUGCGAAGGCGACCUGCUAGAACAUAACUGACGCUGAUGCGCGAAAGCGUGGGGAGCAAACAGGAUUAGAUACCCGGGUAGUC